Molecule: ribosomal RNA, 440 nt
Filed under: uncultured bacterium
Lineage: Bacteria
Description: partial 16S ribosomal RNA
Rfam family: Bacterial small subunit ribosomal RNA
Source: RNAcentral
CCUACGGGUGGCAGCAGUGGGGAAUAUUGCACAAUGGGGGAAACCCUGAUGCAGCGACGCCGCGUGAGUGAAGAAGUAAUUCGUUAUGUAAAGCUCUAUCAGCAGGGAAGAAAAUGACGGUACCUGAGUAAGAAGCCCCGGCUAACUACGUGCCAGCAGCCGCGGUAAUACGUAGGGGGCAAGCGUUAUCCGGAUUUACUGGGUGGAAAGGGAGCGUAGACGGCAGAGCAAGUCUGGAGUGAAAGGCGGGGGCUCAAACCCCGGACUGCUCUGGAAACUGUACGGCUGGAGUGCAGGAGAGGUAAGUGGAAUUCCUAGUGUAGCGGUGAAAUGCGUAGAUAUUAGGAGGAACACCAGUGGCGAAGGCGGCUUACUGGACUGUAACUGACGUUGAGGCUCGAAAGCGUGGGGAGCAAACAGGAUUAGAUACCCCAGUAGUC